CUACGGGCUGCUCCAGCAAGGAAUAUUGCGCAAUGGGCGAAAGCCUGACGCAGCGACGCCGCGUGGGGGAUGAAGGCCCUCGGGUUGUAAACCCCUUUUCUCAGGGAAGAAUAAUGACGGUACCUGAGGAAUAAGUCUCGGCUAACUACGUGCCAGCAGCCGCGAUAAUACGUAGGAGGCGAGCGUUAUCCGGAUUUACUGGGCGUAAAGCGGGUGUAGGCGGCUCUUCAAGUCGGAUGUAAAAUCUCCUGGCUUAACUGGGAGGGACCAUUCGAUACUGCUGGGCUCGAGUGCAGCAGAGGAAGGUGGAAUUCCCGGUGUAGUGGUGGAAUGCGUAGAUAUCGGGAGGAACACCAGUGGCGAAAGCGGCCUUCUGGGCUGUAACUGACGCUGAGACCCAUAAGCGUGGGGAGCAAACAGGAUUAGAUACCCUUGUAGUC
This 440-nucleotide ribosomal RNA is filed under the name uncultured bacterium. Its description in RNAcentral is "partial 16S ribosomal RNA". It matches the Rfam family "Bacterial small subunit ribosomal RNA", at positions 339 to 795 of the family's 1533-position model. The record is from RNAcentral.